RNAcentral lists this ribosomal RNA (416 nucleotides) under uncultured Amphinema. RNAcentral's name for it is "eukaryotic LSU rRNA". The stretch from base 105 to 259 matches the Rfam family "5.8S ribosomal RNA". The record is from RNAcentral. Lineage: Eukaryota; Fungi; Basidiomycota; Agaricomycetes; Atheliales; Atheliaceae.
UCCACAACACACCUGUGAACCCACCGUAGGCCUUCGGGCUUAUGUAUCAUAUACUCUGAAUGUGUCAUAGAAUGUUCAUGUUGCCUUAAAACGCAAUCAAAUACAACUUUCAACAACGGAUCUCUUGGCUCUCGCAUCGAUGAAGAACGCAGCGAAAUGCGAUAAGUAAUGUGAAUUGCAGAUUUUCAGUGAAUCAUCGAAUCUUUGAACGCACCUUGCGCUCCUUGGUAUUCCGAGGAGCAUGCCUGUUUGAGUGUCAUUAAAUUCUCAACCCCACCGAUUUGUUUUGGGGGGAUUGGACUUGGAGUGUGCUGGCGAAGGUCGGCUCCUCUUUAAAUGCAUCAGUGGAGAGAAACUUGCCCCAGUGUGAUAAUCCUGUUGUGCUGUGGUGGGUGAAAGUCUGCUUUCAACUGUCC